Molecule: non-coding RNA, 517 nt
Filed under: uncultured fungus
Lineage: Eukaryota; Fungi
Description: partial 18S ribosomal RNA
Rfam family: Group I catalytic intron (bases 158-453)
About the family: Group I catalytic introns are large self-splicing ribozymes.
Source: RNAcentral
CGUAGAAAUCAAAGUCUUUGGGUUCUGGGGGGAGGUAGUGUCGCAAGGCUGAAACUUAAAGGAAUUGACGGAAGGGCACACCAGGUGUAAACUUUUACAGUUUUGCCGCAGUAACUCUGCACCGACAGCAGCCCGAAGGGUGAGGUGGUUCAAGCCCGAGAGCGAGUAACUGUCGCUCUCGAAUCUAAUUGCUAGUCCAGAAAUGGGCGAGACCUUCAAAUUGUCGGGGAACUCCUAAAGCUUCAGACACCAAGCCGCAUUCCGAAAGGGUGCGGUGGCCAGGGUAAUGACCUCGGGUAUGGUAAAAGCUCUGAAGAUGCAACAAUGGACAAUCCGCAGCCAAGGCUCUAAGGGUGGAAACGCCUACGAGACAGGUUCAGAGACUAGAUGGAGGUCGGUCACUUAAAUGUAUAGUGGCUUAAGGUAUAGUCCGGCUGCAAGUGAAAGCUUGCGGAAUUGGGCACAUCCAAUUCCACAGUGAAUAGGGAGCCUGCGGCUUAAUUUGACUCAACACGGG